Molecule: ribosomal RNA, 446 nt
Filed under: uncultured Ureaplasma sp.
Lineage: Bacteria; Bacillati; Mycoplasmatota; Mycoplasmoidales; Mycoplasmoidaceae
Description: bacterial SSU rRNA
Rfam family: Bacterial small subunit ribosomal RNA
Source: RNAcentral
CUCACCAAGUCAUUGACGCGUAGCUGUACUGAGAGGUAGAACAGCCACAAUGGGACUGAGACACGGCCCAUACUCCUACGGGAGGCAGCAGUAGGGAAUUUUUCACAAUGGGCGAAAGCCUUAUGAAGCAAUGCCGCGUGAACGAUGAAGGUCUAUAAGAUUGUAAAGUUCUUUUAUUUGGGAAGAACCACUAAAAUAGGAAAUGAUUUUAGUUUGACUGUACCAUUUGAAUAAGUAUCGGCUAACUAUGUGCCAGCAGCCGCGGUAAUACAUAGGAUGCAAGCGUUAUCCGGAUUUACUGGGCGUAAAACGAGCGCAGGCGGAUUUGUAAGUUUGGUAUGAAAUCUANAUGCUUAACGUCUAGCUGUAUCAAAAACUACNAAUCUAGAGUGUAGCAAGAGUUGGGGAACUCCAUGUGGAGCGGUAAAAUGCGUAGAUAUAUGGAA